RNAcentral lists this ribosomal RNA (1474 nucleotides) under Staphylococcus aureus. RNAcentral's name for it is "partial 23S ribosomal RNA". It matches the Rfam family "Bacterial large subunit ribosomal RNA", at positions 1433 to 2904 of the family's 2925-position model. Lineage: Bacteria; Bacillati; Bacillota; Bacilli; Caryophanales; Staphylococcaceae. The record is from RNAcentral.
AUAUUCCUGUACCACCUAUAAUCGUUUUAAUCGAUGGGGGGACGCAGUAGGAUAGGCGAAGCGUGCGAUUGGAUUGCACGUCUAAGCAGUAAGGCUGAGUAUUAGGCAAAUCCGGUACUCAUUAAGGCUGAGCUGUGAUGGGGAGAAGACAUUGUGUCUUCGAGUCGUUGAUUUCACACUGCCGAGAAAAGCCUCUAGAUAGAAAAUAGGUGCCCGUACCGCAAACCGACACAGGUAGUCAAGAUGAGAAUUCUAAGGUGAGCGAGCGAACUCUCGUUAAGGAACUCGGCAAAAUGACCCCGUAACUUCGGGAGAAGGGGUGCUCUUUAGGGUUAACGCCCAGAAGAGCCGCAGUGAAUAGGCCCAAGCGACUGUUUAUCAAAAACACAGGUCUCUGCUAAACCGUAAGGUGAUGUAUAGGGGCUGACGCCUGCCCGGUGCUGGAAGGUUAAGAGGAGUGGUUAGCUUCUGCGAAGCUACGAAUCGAAGCCCCAGUAAACGGCGGCCGUAACUAUAACGGUCCUAAGGUAGCGAAAUUCCUUGUCGGGUAAGUUCCGACCCGCACGAAAGGCGUAACGAUUUGGGCACUGUCUCAACGAGAGACUCGGUGAAAUCAUAGUACCUGUGAAGAUGCAGGUUACCCGCGACAGGACGGAAAGACCCCGUGGAGCUUUACUGUAGCCUGAUAUUGAAAUUCGGCACAGCUUGUACAGGAUAGGUAGGAGCCUUUGAAACGUGAGCGCUAGCUUACGUGGAGGCGCUGGUGGGAUACUACCCUAGCUGUGUUGGCUUUCUAACCCGCACCACUUAUCGUGGUGGGAGACAGUGUCAGGCGGGCAGUUUGACUGGGGCGGUCGCCUCCUAAAAGGUAACGGAGGCGCUCAAAGGUUCCCUCAGAAUGGUUGGAAAUCAUUCAUAGAGUGUAAAGGCAUAAGGGAGCUUGACUGCGAGACCUACAAGUCGAGCAGGGUCGAAAGACGGACUUAGUGAUCCGGUGGUUCCGCAUGGAAGGGCCAUCGCUCAACGGAUAAAAGCUACCCCGGGGAUAACAGGCUUAUCUCCCCCAAGAGUUCACAUCGACGGGGAGGUUUGGCACCUCGAUGUCGGCUCAUCGCAUCCUGGGGCUGUAGUCGGUCCCAAGGGUUGGGCUGUUCGCCCAUUAAAGCGGUACGCGAGCUGGGUUCAGAACGUCGUGAGACAGUUCGGUCCCUAUCCGUCGUGGGCGUAGGAAAUUUGAGAGGAGCUGUCCUUAGUACGAGAGGACCGGGAUGGACAUACCUCUGGUGUACCAGUUGUCGUGCCAACGGCAUAGCUGGGUAGCUAUGUGUGGACGGGAUAAGUGCUGAAAGCAUCUAAGCAUGAAGCCCCCCUCAAGAUGAGAUUUCCCAACUUCGGUUAUAAGAUCCCUCAAAGAUGAUGAGGUUAAUAGGUUCGAGGUGGAAGCAUGGUGACAUGUGGAGCUGACGAAUACUAA